Molecule: RNA transcript, 1848 nt
Organism: Helianthus annuus (common sunflower)
Lineage: Eukaryota; Viridiplantae; Streptophyta; Magnoliopsida; Asterales; Asteraceae
Exons: 10
Source: RefSeq, a predicted model, not a curated record
UCUUCUCUCUCUCUCUCGCUCUACGACUCAAGAACAUCAUGCCAGAUCUCUCAUCAGAUGCCGUUUCAUGACAAGAUCGUUGAAGGUCUGCAACCUUUGUUCUAGGAAUCUUGAAAAUCUUUCGUUAUUACAAUUUUCUGUAAUCAUUGUGACCACUACCGGUUGUAAUGCAGUGGUUCCGACACCCGAGCUCUGGUGGAGGAGACUAGGGUUUCGGCGAAGAUAAAGCCAUCGGAGGCUGAACCACCGGUGCAGGUAUCAUCUUCAUCAUCUAAACUAUCAUUGUUGGGAACAUGGAUGCCGUUUAUUGUUUACAAUUAGAUCCAUUGGCAGCUAUUGAACCAUCUUUCUUCAAGGUGAGAACAAGUUUAUCCUAUAACUUCUUAUUUUUGUUCCACCAAACAUUCUAUUUUUGUUCCAGCAAACAUUCUUAUACUUGUAAAUUGGAGGUUGAAAACCCAAUUAAUUGAGAUGUACGAUAGAUUACGGGUCGGAGCAGUUGCAGGCGGAACAUAUCCAUCAAUUGGAGUGGAUACAACCUGGUUAAGAAACAGGGCUCGAAGGGAAUGUAUGUAGAUUCCAUGAGGUUGUUGGGGCUGUGGGGUGUGAGAGGCGGAAAGUCUUAUUUGGAGUGACCAGGAAUGACGCUACGGUGGUGGUAGUCUUGGACGAGAUCUCCCAACAAGUCUUUUGGCCUGAGGAUCUUCGGAGGCCAUUUGGACACUUUGGUCCUUUAAAGGACAUUUACUUGCCAAGGGAUUAUUAUAGCGGGAAAUAGAGGCUGUAAGGAACAAUUUGAUGCCCUUAAAGAAAAAGUAGUGUUUGGGGCAGACAUGGGAACCGAGAGGUUGGGUAUGGAAGCUAUCAAGGCGGAGAUGGAAUCUUGAAUUGGGGUGAAGAUCGACGUUUCGACGAAAUGCGUAGUAAUUUUGGCAAAUUGGCUGUUUUCUGGAUUUUUCAGGCUAUAAGGGUUUGGACUUUGGACAGUAAGUCUACCUGUGACAAUUGUCAAUGCGAGUGACUCAGAUCCCGAUAUUGAAGCAUGAGACAUAAUCGGGUGGAUUAUGUGGUCUAUUGGCAUCUCAAUUAUUGCUUCUUUUUAUUAGCGGGAUACCAUUGAUCGAGGAGUCUGGAGAUAAAAAGUAUGGAAACGUGGCGGGAUACCGACACUAUAAAAAGACUACAAGUCCUCGGAUUCCACUGCCUCAAUGGAAGCUUGCCGUCUUGGGUCAAAGCUGCUUUCUAUUUGAGCUUCCAUUGUAUAAUCGAAAUCUUCCUAAAGAAGAAGCAUUGGGCUGAAGUGAGGGACGUCGAGCACGGCUUGGGGAGGACGAAGAUGACGCGGCGCGGCAGGAGGUGGCGGUGUAGCUGGCCCUCGACGUGGCUCGCCGUCCCGGGGACAAGCCCCACACCCAUUAGCCAUAGCUUCAGCAACAUGUUUCAAUCACCUAACAUGGGAUCUAUUCUUCUUCUUUACACUUGUGACACUACAAACCAUAUAGCAUGCAGAUUCACUGACACAUACACAUACAACACAAACGUCAAUACACAUACAUUGUACAUGAACCAAAAGGUCAAAGCUAAACAAUGGCAGGCCUCUUUCUCUUCCACAAUGGACAACAUUGGUAUUCCAACAAGAGUCCGACUGCAGCAUGCGGAUGUCUGAAGUAGCGAGCGCGGCGCAGCAAUCGCAGGGUUCCUACUUUAUAGAAAGACGAAAUUGGAUUUUGUAGAAGAUGAAUUGUUGUACUUGAUUUGUAUAUUUUACAGUUGAAUUGUAAAAGAUGAACUGGGCUGGAUGUUUAAGAGUUGCACUGCAGUAAAAAAAAAUCGAAUAUGAAUUGUUUU